Molecule: small nuclear RNA, 18 nt
Filed under: Arabidopsis thaliana (thale cress)
Lineage: Eukaryota; Viridiplantae; Streptophyta; Magnoliopsida; Brassicales; Brassicaceae
Description: snRNA_03471
Source: RNAcentral
GCCCUUAAUCUGGACUGG